CCCUCCUUGUCGCGCCCAGCCGGCCUCCGGUCCUUCUUCCCGGUUCCUGGUUGCCGCCUCGGAACGCAUGGCGUUGCACUUGCAGAGCCCGAGUUCCUUCCCCUACAGGAGGAGGACACCCGGUUCGUCGUGGUAACCUUCUACAAAUUCGUGCCCCUCGACGACCCCCACGCCGAGUUCGCCAGACACCUCAUCUUCCUCCAGUACUAUCGUGUUUCUGUCGGGACUCGGGAAGCUCAAGAGAGCGACCACCGCACUGGAGGCCGAAGGGAAGGGACGAGAUCGUUGAAUCGCAGGUGGACGGCUAGGAUUGGUCGCCUGAGGCGAGAAGGAUGAGUGAAGAGGAUAAGGCUGCUACUUCUGCUGAGCACCGAAGAGGGCCCCUAAGCUCAAUUAAAGGAUCCUCUCUUCUCUGUCCAGGAGGUCCGUAGCUGCUCAUCUUUGGCAUGAGCAUGAUCUUGAGAUCGGUAAGUUGGCACAACUAUCCUUUCUUGCUCUUCUAACUCUGUCAAAUAAGCAUACACAGGUCCUGAUGCUCCUGUUGUAUUCAAUGUUGUAAGUACCAUCAUUACCUUGGAACCGUUUGAGGUGUUAUAUGUUUGCUGAUGUGGGGAAUCAGGUUCUCUGGAACCUUCGAUUGGAAGAUGAGGGGUUUCAAUGGUGAUUCCGCAGUGUUUUCAGACCA
Molecule: long non-coding RNA, 685 nt
Organism: Zea mays
Lineage: Eukaryota; Viridiplantae; Streptophyta; Magnoliopsida; Poales; Poaceae
Exons: 3
Source: RefSeq, a predicted model, not a curated record